Molecule: ribosomal RNA, 238 nt
Filed under: Alternaria sp.
Lineage: Eukaryota; Fungi; Ascomycota; Dothideomycetes; Pleosporales; Pleosporaceae
Description: partial large subunit ribosomal RNA
Rfam family: Eukaryotic large subunit ribosomal RNA
Source: RNAcentral
ACAGCUCAAAUUUGAAAUCUGGCUCUUUUAGAGUCCGAGUUGUAAUUUGCAGAGGGCGCUUUGGCUUUGGCAGCGGUCCAAGUUCCUUGGAACAGGACGUCACAGAGGGUGAGAAUCCCGUACGUGGUCGCUGGCUAUUGCCGUGUAAAGCCCCUUCGACGAGUCGAGUUGUUUGGGAAUGCAGCUCUAAAUGGGAGGUACAUUUCUUCUAAAGCUAAAUAUUGGCCAGAGACCGAUA